CGGAGGGCGCAAGCGUUGUUCGGAAUUACUGGGCGUAAAGCGCGCGCAGGCGGAAGGUAAGUCUGGAGUGAAAUUCCGGGGCUCAACUCCGGAGCUGCUUUGGAUACUGUCUUUCUAGGGACCGGUAGAGGCCGGUGGAAUUCCCGGUGUAGCGGUGGAAUGCGUAGAGAUCGGGAAGAACACCCGUGGCGAAGGCGGCCGGCUGGGCCGGAUCCGACGCUGAGGCGCGAAAGCGUGGGGAGCAAACAGGAUUAGAUACCCUGGUAGUCCACGCUGUAAACGAUGGGCACUAGGUGCCGGGGGGAGCGACCCCGUCGGUGCCGUAGCUAACGCGAUAAGUGCCCCCGCCUGGGGAGUACGGCCGCAAGGCUG
Molecule: ribosomal RNA, 372 nt
Filed under: uncultured organism
Description: bacterial SSU rRNA
Rfam family: Bacterial small subunit ribosomal RNA
Source: RNAcentral